RNAcentral lists this long non-coding RNA (916 nucleotides) under Mytilus galloprovincialis (Mediterranean mussel). Lineage: Eukaryota; Metazoa; Mollusca; Bivalvia; Mytilida; Mytilidae. The record is from RNAcentral.
AAUUUCAUUGGAAAUUUGCCAAUAUAAAAUAAUGCAUUGGAGUUAUUGGUUAUCUUUCUUUGUCCAAAAUAGUAGUUAAAUCAACUUAAAUCAUGACUGUAUGACAUUUUAUAUUUUAUGAUGUAUUUAAUGAGUAGUUAUUGUUGAAAACUCCAUAAGAAAUUUGAAUUGAGAUCAUUUUUGGAAUAAGGGAAAUGGGGAGGUGAAAAAAAAUUGGUGGGGUUCAAUUUUUCUUAUUUCAGAUUUCAGAAAUGAAAAAGAAAAUUUCUUCAAAUAUCAAAGGAUUCAUAUUCAACAGCAUACUGAAUUGCUCAAAAGCAAAAAAAAAAACAUUUUAAGUUCAUUAGACCACAUUCAUUCUGUGUCAGAAACCUAUGCUGUGUCAACUAUUUAAUCACAAUCUAAAUUCAGAGCUGUAUCCAGUUUGAAUGUUGUGUCCAUACUAGCCCCAACCGUUCAGGGUUCAACCUCUGUGGUCGUAUAAAGCUGUGCCUUGUGGAGCUUCUGGUUAAACUCCUGUAAUGAGCUCUUUUAAGUCUUUUGACAAAAAAAUCCACAAUGAAAUGGUUCAUAGCUGAUAUUUUAUAGCAUCAAUAUGCAGAAUGAAAACUUAAUAAUAAGUUAUUGGUAUGCAUUUCCCCAGUUGAAACACUUUUCUUAGCUUGUUUCUUGUUAGGAUUUCUGAGAUCUAGAGUAACAGCUUACAACAUGUACAAGGAAUCUACUGAAAAACAAGAGGCUCUCAAGAGCCUGAAUCGCUCACCUGGUAAACAAUGCCUUCGGCCAUGUUUUUUGACGAAAUAGAAAAUAAAACACAAACUUUAUUUUAUACACCCUACUGAUCAUUCAAAUGAAGUUUGGUUGAAUUUGGUUGAGUAGUUUUAGAGGAGAAGAUUUUUUAAAGUUAGCAAAUAUG